RNAcentral lists this ribosomal RNA (120 nucleotides) under Lepocinclis tripteris. The record is from RNAcentral. Lineage: Eukaryota; Euglenozoa; Euglenophyceae; Euglenales; Phacaceae.
UGUGGUACUUUUUUAGUCUGAAAAAUCAUCUAAUUCCAUUCCGAACUUAGUAAUGAUUGACUAAUGAAGAUUUUAGUACUUUAAGGGUGACUUUAUGGGAAUAUAUCUUUUGUGCCAUGA